CUCUGUGACUCCUACGGGAGGCAGCAUGGGGGAAUAUUGCACAAUGGGCGCAAGCCUGAUGCAGCAACGCCGUGUGAGUGAAGAAGGUUUUCGGAUCGUAAAACUCUGUCCUAAGGGAAGAAACAAAUGACGGUACCUUAGGAGGAAGCCCCGGCUAACUACGUGCCAGCAGCCGCGGUAAUACGUAGGGGGCAAGCGUUAUCCGGAAUCACUGGGCGUAAAGGGUGCGUAGGCGGCUUAGCAAGCCAGGGGUGAAAGGCAUUGGCUCAACCAAUGUAAGCCUUUGGAACUGUUAAGCUUGAGUGCAGGAGAGGUAAGUGGAAUUCCUAGUGUAGAGGUGAAAAUUCGUAGAUAUUAGGAGGAACACCAGUGGCGAAGGCGACUUACUGGACUGUAACUGACGCUGAUGCACGAAAGCGUGGGUAGCGAACAGGAUUAGAUACCCUGGUAG
Molecule: ribosomal RNA, 451 nt
Filed under: uncultured bacterium
Lineage: Bacteria
Description: bacterial SSU rRNA
Rfam family: Bacterial small subunit ribosomal RNA
Source: RNAcentral